This 451-nucleotide ribosomal RNA is filed under the name uncultured organism. RNAcentral describes it as "partial 16S ribosomal RNA". It matches the Rfam family "Bacterial small subunit ribosomal RNA", at positions 333 to 800 of the family's 1533-position model. The record is from RNAcentral.
ACACUCCUGCGGGAGGCAGCAGUGGGGAAUAUUGGACAAUGGGCGCAAGCCUGAUCUAGCCAUGCCGCGUGAGUGAUGAAGGCCCUAGGGUUGUAAAGCUCUUUCACCGGUGAAGAUAAUGACGGUAACCGGAGAAGAAGCCCCGGCUAACUUCGUGCCAGCAGCCGCGGUAAUACGAAGGGGGCUAGCGUUGUUCGGAUUUACUGGGCGUAAAGCGCACGUAGGCGGACUAUUAAGUCAGGGGUGAAAUCCCGGGGCUCAACCCCGGAACUGCCUUUGAUACUGGUAGUCUUGAGUUCGAGAGAGGUGAGUGGAAUUCCGAGUGUAGAGGUGAAAUUCGUAGAUAUUCGGAGGAACACCAGUGGCGAAGGCGGCUCACUGGCUCGAUACUGACGCUGAGGUGCGAAAGCGUGGGGAGCAAACAGGAUUAGAAACCCGAGUAGUCCCAUGA